CAAGAAGUAGUUUAAUUAGAAUACCAG
Molecule: non-coding RNA, 27 nt
Filed under: Mus musculus (house mouse)
Lineage: Eukaryota; Metazoa; Chordata; Mammalia; Rodentia; Muridae
Source: RNAcentral